This 409-nucleotide ribosomal RNA is filed under the name Acidobacteriota bacterium. Its description in RNAcentral is "Acidobacteria bacterium partial 16S ribosomal RNA". It matches the Rfam family "Bacterial small subunit ribosomal RNA", at positions 355 to 776 of the family's 1533-position model. The record is from RNAcentral. Lineage: Bacteria; Pseudomonadati; Acidobacteriota.
UGGGGAAUAUUGCACAAUGGGCGAAAGCCUGAUGCAGCGACGCCGCGUGAGGGAUGACGGCCUUCGGGUUGUAAACCUCUUUCAGCAGGGACGAAGCGCAAGUGACGGUACCUGCAGAAGAAGCACCGGCUAACUACGUGCCAGCAGCCGCGGUAAUACGUAGGGUGCAAGCGUUGUCCGGAAUUACUGGGCGUAAAGAGUUCGUAGGCGGUUUGUCGCGUCGGUUGUGAAAACCAGCAGCUCAACUGCUGGCUUGCAGGCGAUACGGGCAGACUUGAGUACUGCAGGGGGGACUGGAAUUCCUGGUGUAGCGGGGAAAUGCGCAGAUAUCAGGAGGAACACCGGGGGCGGAGGCGGGUCUCUGGGCAGUAACUGACGCUGAGGAGCGAAAGCGUGGGUAGCGAACAGG